AUUGAACGCUGGCGGCAUGUCUUACACAUGCAAGUCGAACGGCAGCACGGGAGCAAUCCUGGUGGCGAGUGGCGAACGGGUGAGUAAUAUAUCGGAACGUGCCCAGUCGUGGGGGAUAACGCAGCGAAAGCUGUGCUAAUACCGCAUACGAUCUAAGGAUGAAAGCGGGGGAUCGCAAGACCUCGCGCGAUUGGAGCGGCCGAUAUCAGAUUAGCCAGUUGGUGGGGUAAAGGCCCACCAAGGCGGCGAUCUGUAGCUGGUCUGAGAGGACGACCAGCCACACUGGAACUGAGACACGGUCCAGACUCCGACGGGAGGCAGAAGUGGGGAAUUUUGGACGACGGGCGCAAGACUGAUCCAGCAAUGCCGCGUGCAGGAUGAAGGCCUUCGGGUUGUAAACUGCUUUUGUACGGAACGAAACGGCCCUUUCUAAUACAGGGGGCUAAUGACGGUACCGUAAGAAUAAGCACCGGCUAACUACGUGCCAGCCGCCGCUGUAA
This 500-nucleotide ribosomal RNA is filed under the name uncultured bacterium. Its description in RNAcentral is "partial 16S ribosomal RNA". It matches the Rfam family "Bacterial small subunit ribosomal RNA", at positions 29 to 523 of the family's 1533-position model. The record is from RNAcentral.